Long non-coding RNA from Cynoglossus semilaevis (tongue sole), 2049 nucleotides. RefSeq lists it as uncharacterized. Lineage: Eukaryota; Metazoa; Chordata; Actinopteri; Pleuronectiformes; Cynoglossidae. The transcript is spliced from 3 exons. The record is from RefSeq and is a predicted model, not a curated record.
UUACGAGUGGGCAGGGCGUGUCAUCCCUCCGCCCGUGGGCCCUCCCCUGGAACAGAGCAGCGGCUGCUGAGGCCUCCUGUCAGAACAGGCUCACACCAUUGAUUCCCACCGUGGAGGAACAGGCAGAGGCAAACAUUUCAUUCCUGAGUUGCAAAAUCACUCAUUCAUAAUUAAAGAUAAUAAAACCACUACACAUUAGGUGCCACCAGAGCGGCGAUCUGUCAACCUCCAUCCUGGAGAAGACUUGGACCACAUCCAUUUGCUGCCAUUAUUCCUCAUCUUAAAACCCUGAUUCGUGACUGGGGCGUGGGACACUUGACUUUUCUCCCUGCUUGAAUGGACUGAACGGAUCUUCACGCCGAGCACACGGUCUAACCGGUGGAGCGGACGGCGGUGGAGAAUUCACGGCAUGUGCUGGCGUGAUCAUGCAAGAAGAUGUCACCGAGACAGAGAACAACAUGAAGUGAGAUGUCAGCGGAGGAGGAGGUAAAACACUCCCAUCAACUCCUGCCGCGGAGCUGUGACUCACCCUGAGAGCGUGUGUGUUGGUGAGAUGUGAGCCAAAUGAAAACGCUCAGCCCGCGCCUCUAAUGUCAUUCAGCACACAUUCAAAGGUCGGUCCGCCACUCUCCGGAAGAUUCCCCGGCCCUGCAGCCUACAGGUGGAGGCAUGAGUACAGCUCUGAACGGAUUUGCCCCUGUGGAGGAGAGUGACGGCCGUGACCACUGCUGUCACUGCAGGAGAGCUUGUUGUCCUCCUCCUGUGCUGCUGCCUGUCUCACUGUGUGAUGACAUGUAGCUGCAGGACGCUCAGAAUCUAGGAAAACCUAGGGUCAGAUGUUAGCAAGACGAAAUGACCUCAAAUUGAUUUAGAAUUUCAUUAACAUUCGUACUGAAAGUAAAAAACUGGCCAGGACAACAGGAAGCUGAAAGAACAGAGUAUGUCAACAGAAUGCUAACAUUAGCCGAACACAAGGAAGAAUUAGCCAGACAUAAUUAUAGCAGCUAUAGCUCACUGUGUUUUCAGUUUUUUUUCACACAUUUUCUCCCAGUGAUAAUAAACCACUGCUGCUGUGAGGUUAUCUGAACUGAACUCCAACUGAACUUGUUUUUUUUUUUUAUCAGUACGUGAAUCUAACGUUGACCCUUUGACUGAAACAGAAAGCACAUUAAAAAUCCCCCUCACUCCUAGCAUCAACCAGAGGAAGUGUAAGUGCACGCACACAGACAUAUUCACGCAGACGACAGUGGAUUUCCUGGUGACUGCACAGGUCGAUGUCAGAGCGUUCACACGAACUGUAAUUAACAUAACUGAAAGAGCAAUAAAACACAUAGUGUACAUACAGUACCUUUACAUAUGUGCAAUAUUUGUUUUACUUUACACCGCUGUGACAUGACAUUAACUCCAUUACAGGACCAACAAAGUCGUUCUUUAAUCACAUCAUGAAACCUAUAGCUAUUAUUUACACAUAAAUAUAAUUAUUUGGCCAAAUCCUUACCACUGCGUUGGCGUAUAUUCUGUAUAAACGCAAUCCUGGGUAACAAGUGACCUAAAUAUUGAAUUUAUAGAAGCUUAAACGUUACACAAUGGAGUGACGUAGAAAAUUAAAGGUCUGCACUGACCUCUAGUGGAGAUAAAGAAAAAGUGACUACAAGUCUAUCGAACGCGUAUCUUUGUAACUGAAAAAAGUAGUUCUUAUUUUAAACUUUGACAACGGUCCACACUGGGUUUCCUGUAUUUACGUUUGUUUUCUGUUUAUUUAUUUGUGUUGGUCAAUAUGUUCAACAGUACUGCAAUAGUCCUAUUGACUGUGUAAUAUUCCUGUAAACGUCGUUGCAAUAUUCGACUUUUUCUCUGAAGUAUUUCAGAACGACAGGUGUUUUCUUACGUACGUACACGAUGCCAUCGUGUGGCCAAAUGGACACAGUGCAGCACUCGUUCGCCAUUCAAUCAAACAUCCCUAUAUUCGAAGGCUAUAAAAAGCACAAUUAAGAUUUGUUACACAGAGAAAAAACAAAACAAAACAAACAAACAAACAAACAAAAACAG